This 588-nucleotide ribosomal RNA is filed under the name uncultured bacterium. RNAcentral's name for it is "partial 16S ribosomal RNA". It matches the Rfam family "Bacterial small subunit ribosomal RNA", at positions 355 to 1375 of the family's 1533-position model. The record is from RNAcentral.
UGGGGAAUUUUGGACAAUGGGCGAAAGCCUGAUCCAGCAAUGCCGCGUGUGUGAAGAAGGCCUUCGGGUUGUAAAGCACUUUUGUCCGGAAAGAAAUCCUUGGCUCUAAUACAGUCGGGGGAUGACGGUACCGGAAGAAUAAGCACCGGCUAACUACGUGCCAGCAGCCGCGGUAAUACGUAGGGUGCAAGCGUUAAUCGGAAUUACUGGGCGUAAAGCGUGCGCAGGCGGUUUGCUAAGACCGAUGUGAAAUCCCCGGGCUCAACCUGGGAACUGCAUUGGUGACUGGCAGGCUAGAGUAUGGCAGAGGGGGGUAGAAUUCCACGUGUAGCAAUGAAAUGCGUAGAGAUGUGGAGGAAUACCGAUGGCGAAGGCAGCCCCCUGGGCCAAUACUGACGCUCAUGCACGAAAAGCGUGGGGAGCAAACAGGAUUAGAUACCCUGGUAGUCCACGCCCUAAAACGAUGUCAACUAGUUGUUGGGGAUUCAUUUCCUUAGUAACGUAGCUAAACGCGUGAAGUUGACCGCCUGGGGAGUACGGUCGCAAGAUUAAAACUCAAAUGAAUUGACGGGGUCAUAGCUGUUUCCU